This 85-nucleotide non-coding RNA is filed under the name Gloeochaete wittrockiana. Lineage: Eukaryota; Glaucocystophyceae; Gloeochaetales; Gloeochaetaceae. The record is from RNAcentral.
UUUUUUGUGUGUUUGUGUUUAAAGUUAUCUAUGAAUGAAAAAGUCAUAAUAGAAAAAGGAAAAAAAAAAAAACGUAAUUGCAACA